Molecule: ribosomal RNA, 437 nt
Filed under: uncultured bacterium
Lineage: Bacteria
Description: bacterial SSU rRNA
Rfam family: Bacterial small subunit ribosomal RNA
Source: RNAcentral
AACGAACGCUGGCGGCAGGCCUAACACAUGCAAGUCGAACGCUCCUGCAAUGGAGAGUGGCAGACGGGUGAGUAACGCGUGGGAACCUUCCCUAUGGUUCGGAAUAGCUCAGGGAAACUUGAGGUAAUACCGGAUAAGCCCUUCGGGGAAGAUUUAUCGCCAUUGGAUGGGCCCGCGUAGGAUUAGCUAGUUGGUGAGGUAACGGCUCACCAAGGCGACGAUCCUUAGCUGGCUGAGAGGAUGAUCAGCCACACUGGGACUGAGACACGGCCCAGACUCCUACGGGAGGCAGCAGUGGGGAAUAUUGGACAAUGGGCGCAAGCCUGAUCCAGCCAUGCCGCGUGAGUGACGAAGGCCUUAGGUUGUAAAGCUCUUUUGGCGGGAAGAUAAUGACGGUACCGCAGAAUAAGCUCCGGCUAACUUCGUGCCAGCAGCCG